CUCAAGCAUCGACUCAUCAUUUAUUGAGAUAAUUUAAAGAACUAAAACCACCUAAUUCAAAUCAAUGGCACUAAUUAUAUUUAGAAAUCAUGUUGAAGAUAGUAAAGGUAACUAACGAUUUCAGCUUUAUCCUAUUUGGUGUAAUUUUCUCAGGAACCAAACAAGGAGAAGAAUAAAUAGGAGAGAGAGACAGACAUGCCUGGUACUGGUAGGGGAA
Molecule: unclassified non-coding RNA, 217 nt
Filed under: Hevea brasiliensis (rubber tree)
Lineage: Eukaryota; Viridiplantae; Streptophyta; Magnoliopsida; Malpighiales; Euphorbiaceae
Source: RNAcentral